RNAcentral lists this ribosomal RNA (253 nucleotides) under uncultured bacterium. RNAcentral's name for it is "partial 16S ribosomal RNA". It matches the Rfam family "Bacterial small subunit ribosomal RNA", at positions 524 to 776 of the family's 1533-position model. The record is from RNAcentral.
UACAGAGGCCCCAAGCGUUACUGAGAAUCACUGGGCUUAAAGGGUGCGUAGGUGGUCCGUUAAGUCCGUUGUGAAAGCCCCUGGCUCAACCAGGGAACUGCUUCGGAUACUUGCGGACUUGAGGCCAGUAGGGGUCACUAGAACUGACGGUGGAGCGGUGAAAUGCGUAGAUAUCGUCAGGAAUGCCGAUGGUGAAGACAGGUGACUGGGCUGGUUCUGACACUGAGGCACGAAAGCGUGGGGAGCGAACGGG